Molecule: ribosomal RNA, 253 nt
Filed under: uncultured bacterium
Lineage: Bacteria
Description: partial 16S ribosomal RNA
Rfam family: Bacterial small subunit ribosomal RNA
Source: RNAcentral
UACAGAGGUCUCAAGCGUUGUUCGGAUUCAUUGGGCGUAAAGGGUGCGUAGGUGGCGCGGUAAGUCGGGUGUGAAAUUUCGGAGCUUAACUCCGAAACUGCAUUCGAUACUGCCGUGCUUGAGGACUGGAGAGGAGACUGGAAUUUACGGUGUAGCAGUGAAAUGCGUAGAUAUCGUGAGGAAGACCAGUGGCGAAGGCGGGUCUCUGGACAGUUCCUGACGCUGAGGCGCGAAGGCCAGGGGAGCAAACGGG